GGGCAGCCCUAGGGGGCGGGGCGGGAUGGGGAUGCGGUACGUAGGCGGCGUGAUCCUUGCUGUUGCUGCCCGCGUCUGAGGAUGACCUUCGUUACCUUGGACUUUCCAUCUGCCGAGUGGGGAGAAGCGAGCGUGAUAGGACAUGCUGUGUAUUCUUGUACUCUUGCUUGGAAAGCAAUUCGUUGGCAAAUGCAUCCAGAAGUUUAAAUUUUGGGUGAAGAGUUUGAAAAGACAAAACGUCAGAACAGAGUGACGUAGAAGGCAGCCGUAUGGUGCACAGAACUCACGGAGAAAGAGAGGAGAUCCAAGAAAGGGGCAAAGAGAUGGAGAAAAUUCUGGAUGGCUCCCAAAGCCAACGGAAGCCCUUCCUCCUUGGGCCUGGAGGUUACAAGAUAAAAGCAAACUGAAAUACAAGCAGGCAAGAAGUUAAAGUUAAGUAGAUAAAGAAGGCCCUCAGUGCAAGCGUGAACAAUAGGGAAAGUAGGUUGUGUUACUGUCAUAUGGGGGACCAUAGAGGAUGUCGUAUAUCACAGAAAACCCACUCUACUGCCGGCCCUUAGAGAAGACCCUGAAAACACAUGUGCAGCAGCUGAAAGACCAAGGUCACCCAAGCAGCCGUUCGCCGUACUAAUAAAUGUCUGGAAGUUAAUGGCCUCCACCCUGAGCACCUCUUGUAAUUGUAGAAGCCAAAGGUAACUUGUAUUAAUCACACGGUAUCUCAAUAAAUUUGGUAUUAAGAUAUUUA
This is a long non-coding RNA of Chinchilla lanigera (long-tailed chinchilla), 745 nucleotides long. RefSeq lists it as uncharacterized. Lineage: Eukaryota; Metazoa; Chordata; Mammalia; Rodentia; Chinchillidae. The transcript is spliced from 3 exons. The record is from RefSeq and is a predicted model, not a curated record.